This 458-nucleotide long non-coding RNA is filed under the name Cyanistes caeruleus (blue tit). RNAcentral describes it as "lncRNA (ENSCCEG00000005265.1)". Lineage: Eukaryota; Metazoa; Chordata; Aves; Passeriformes; Paridae. The record is from RNAcentral.
CUGAGACCAGGUGCUGUUCAUCAAGCCCAAAGCCUGACAAGCAUUUCUCAGAUCACAGCGUGGCCUGAAAAAGGCAGAGGAACAGGCAUGCAAUGCCACAAAACUCCAGGGAACUCUCAGAUUAACACUUUUUGCACUGCUGUGGGAGCCCAGGUGUUCAGAACCCUCUGAGAGGUUGAGCUGCCUGUGCUCAUGGCCUACCCUGACACAGUGCUGGCAUGCAACAUUCAAUUGGAGCGCCGCAGACAGAGGAAUCUCAUUGCUGGUUUCAGCUGGAACAUUGCACUGGCCUGACCUUCCUGGGAUUGUAUUUUUGAUAGUUAUAGUCAGAAAUUGUACUGGGAUAAAAGAAAGUCUGAAAUCUCUGUUGGGUAGCUGCCCAGAUGAAAACAAAUAAACAAACAAUCACCUUCAUUUUGUUGACAAUAAACAUUUUUUAAUUUAAAUAAUAAUUCCCA